This 497-nucleotide ribosomal RNA is filed under the name uncultured bacterium. RNAcentral's name for it is "partial 16S ribosomal RNA". It matches the Rfam family "Bacterial small subunit ribosomal RNA", at positions 28 to 507 of the family's 1533-position model. The record is from RNAcentral.
GAUGAACGCUGGCGGCGUGCCUAAUACAUGCAAGUCGAGCGAACAGACGAGGAGCUUGCUCCUUCGACGUUAGCGGCGGACGGGUGAGUAACACGUAGGUAACCUACCUAUAAGACUGGGAUAACUUCGGGAAACCGGAGCUAAUACCGGAUAAUAUUUCGAACCGCAUGGUUCGAUAGUGAAAGAUGGCUUUGCUAUCACUUAUAGAUGGACCUGCGCCGUAUUAGCUAGUUGGUAAGGUAACGGCCUACCAAGGCAACGAUACGUAGCCGACCUGAGAGGGUGAUCGGCCACACUGGAACUGAGACACGGUCCAGACUCCUACGGGAGGCAGCAGUAGGGAAUCUUCCGCAAAGGGCGAAAGCCUGACGGAGCAACGCCGCGUGAGUGAUGAAGGUCUUCGGAUCGUAAAACUCUGUUAUUAGGGAAGAACAAACGUGUAAGUAACUGUGCACGUCUUGACGGUACCUAAUCAGAAAGCCACGGCUAACUACGUG